UAAGGAAUAUUGGACAAUGGACGCAAGUCUGAUCCAGCCAUACCGCGUGAAGGAUGACUGCCCUCUGGGUUGUAAACUUCUUUUAUAGGGGAAGAAAGUUAUUUUUUAGGAUAUUUGACGGUACCCUAUGAAUAAGCACCGGCUAACUCCGUGCCAGCAGCCGCGGUAAUACGGAGGGUGCAAGCGUUAUCCGGAUUCACUGGGUUUAAAGGGUGCGUAGGCGGGUAUGUAAGUCAGUGGUGAAAUACCGGAGCUUAACUUCGGAACUGCCAUUGAUACUAUAUAUCUUGAAUAUUGUGGAGGUAAGCGGAAUAUGCCAUGUAGCGGUGAAAUGCUUAGAGAUGACAUAGAACACCGAUUGCGAAGGCAGCUUGCUACGCAAAUAUUGACGCUGAGGCACGAAAGCGUGGGGAUCAAACAGGAUUAGAUACCCUGGUAGUCCACGCCCUAAACGAUGAUUACUCGACAUUAGCGAUACACAGUUAGUGUCUGAGCGAAAGCAUUAAGUAAUCCACCUGGGAAGUACGACCGCAAGGUUGAAACUCAAAGGAAUUGACGGGGUCAUAGCUGUUUCCU
Molecule: ribosomal RNA, 576 nt
Filed under: uncultured bacterium
Lineage: Bacteria
Description: partial 16S ribosomal RNA
Rfam family: Bacterial small subunit ribosomal RNA
Source: RNAcentral